CGCUCUCCCCAAGGACGAAGCCAUGCAUGCCCGCUCACCCGGGACGCGGCGGACGGCUCAGGACAACGGUUGCACCCGGCGCGGCGGUCCCUGCUAGCCGGACACCGCUGGCAACCCGGCGCCAAGACGUGCGCGCAAGGGCGGGCGCGACGCGGGCGAGCAGCGUGACGCAGA
Molecule: ribosomal RNA, 174 nt
Filed under: Giardia sp.
Lineage: Eukaryota; Fornicata; Diplomonadida; Hexamitidae
Description: partial small subunit ribosomal RNA
Source: RNAcentral